This is a long non-coding RNA of Phymastichus coffea, 258 nucleotides long. RefSeq lists it as uncharacterized. The transcript has 3 exons. The record is from RefSeq and is a predicted model, not a curated record. NCBI's taxonomy places the organism in Eukaryota, Metazoa, Arthropoda, Insecta, Hymenoptera, Eulophidae.
UGCUUAACUUUUCAGCAGUAUGUUGCGCAAAUUCGUGUUUUUCAUUGCCAUCGCCCUGCUCAUCGCGGUAAAUUUGGCUCUUCGGGAAACUGGGAAUCGGAGCUCGCCGUGUCUUUCAGAAUGCUUGAGCGAUGGAAGCGACGACGUUGAUUGCUUGAUAAGUUGCGAAGAAAGGGGCGAUCUCCAUUAAAUUUCGGUCCCUGCAAAAAACAUGUGCGCUCGAUAUUAUCACACAUAAACAAAUAAAAGCAAUUGGAA